This 234-nucleotide long non-coding RNA is filed under the name Mytilus galloprovincialis (Mediterranean mussel). The record is from RNAcentral. Lineage: Eukaryota; Metazoa; Mollusca; Bivalvia; Mytilida; Mytilidae.
GGCGCAGCUUUAUACGACCGCAGAGGUUGAACCCUGAACGGUUGGGGCAAGUAUGGACACAACAUUCAAGCUAGAUUCAGCUCUAAAUUUGGAUUGUGAUUAAAUAGUUGACACAGCAUAGGUUUCUGACACAGAAUGAAUGUGUUCUAAUGAACUUAAAUUUUUUUGUUUUCUCUUAGAGCAAUUCACUAUGCUGUUGAAUAUUAAUCCUCUCAAAAAAUGUUUGAAGAAAUU